GAUGAACGCUGGCGGCGUGCCUAAUACAUGCAAGUCGAGCGAACGGACGAGAAUCUUGCUUCUCUGAUGUUAGCGGCGGACGGGUGAGUAACACGUGGAUAACCUACCUAUAAGACUGGGAUAACUUCGGGAAACCGGAGCUAAUACCGGAUUAUAUUUUGAACCGCAUGGUUCAAGAGUGAAAGACGGUUUUGCUGUCACUUAUUGAUGGAUCCGCGCUGCAUUAGCUAGUUGGUAAGGUAACGGCUUACCAAGGCAACGAUGCAUAGCGGACCUGAGAGGGUGAUCGGCCACACUGGAACUGAGACACGGUCCAGACUCCUACGGGAGGCAGCAGUAGGGAAUCUUCCGCAAUGGGCGAAAGCCUGACGGAGCGACGCCGCGUGAGUGAUGAAGGUCUUCGGAUCGUAAAACUCUGUUAUUAGGGAAGAACAUAUGUGUAAGUAACUGUGCCCAUCUUGACGGUACCUAAACAGAAAGCCCCGGCUAACUACGUG
RNAcentral lists this ribosomal RNA (497 nucleotides) under uncultured bacterium. Its description in RNAcentral is "partial 16S ribosomal RNA". It matches the Rfam family "Bacterial small subunit ribosomal RNA", at positions 28 to 507 of the family's 1533-position model. The record is from RNAcentral.